AGGGUUUUUAAAAAAGUUUUUUGUGAGGGUUAGGACUAUAGUAUUCAUAAAAUAUAUAAAUGAAUAUAAAAACAACAGAAAAACUAUAGAAAAAUAAAGAAAAAUCUCACCAUUUAAAUAGCUGAAUAACUGUGUGUGUGUGUGUGUGUACAGCCACAGACGGAGAUGAACGCUCAUGACCUUUAUUGUGUAAAUUUAGCUUGUUUCAUGACACAUAUAUGAAUUUUAAUUAUAACGAUGUUUAAUAUAGACAUUUUAAUUUCCCCUGUGAGACAAUCACAGUGUGUUUGAAUCAGACUUUAGUGGGCAGAUUUAUUUGAAAGUGAGAUCUUCAGGAAGUGUGGGCAACGAGACGUGUUCUUCUGAUUUCAUGAAGAGCAGAUAUUUCUAGAUCACGCUCACAUUUCCAGACGCGCGCCUCGUGGACGUUGUACUGAUGAUGUCGACGUAAUGCGGCGGGAGAACCAAAACACGCCACAGGAAACUGUAAAAAUGUGCUUCCUUUAUUAGAGGGAAACUUGAUUCUGAAACACUUAUUUGGAUAAUGAACAGUCGUGUUUUGUAAGGACACGUUUGUGUUUUCCUGUUUUGUUCAGGAAAAAAGACAAAAUAUAAAAGAUAUGAAAAUUAAGUCAACCCUAAAUUCUCUUUACUGCGAGUAUAAAAACUGAAUAUUUAUGAAAAUGAUCCAAAGACAUUUUCACUCUAAAAUACAACAAAUUCUACCAUAAUUUAUGUUGAUUAUUGUAGACUACUCUACAACUUUUUUGCAUAACAGUUAUCUCAAUAUUACAAUAUAUUACAAUAUAUAACUGUAAUAAAAAUGUCACAAUGCUAAAUGGAAAAUAUGAUUUUUGCAUGGGUAACUUUAGACUUUAGAUAAAACAGAUAAAAACAGAUCAGAUUCACAGACAAAAGACAUCAGUGUCAAAUUAAAUUUCUUCCAAAGCUUUAUUUUCUUACAAUUGAGUAUAAAUCACAAACUGACAAAAAUCCCCUACAGAAAUAUGUUUACAUGUAGACAGUUAUUCAGGUAAUUAAAUACCUCAUAUUAAUGGGUAGUUGAUGCAGGAUAUUGUACAUAGAAAUGAAGUACAGCAGUUUUAGAAAGUAUUCAGACACUUUUGGACACUUAAAAAUGUCUAAAUUUCAUUCAGAACAACUAUCAUCUGUGCUCAAGUGAUGCUUGAGCAAAACUAACACACUUCUGAGUCGCUAUAAAUUAUAUUAACCCUUUGACGCGUACGAUCACACCGCUGUGAUUAGAACGUUCAGUGCAUCAUGUGAUCAACCGCCAUAUUCAGAUGUGCUUGCACGCUUUGGCUGGCGCUCAAACAGAGACGGACGCGCUCAGCGCUUUUCAUAUAUCACAGAUAUGCAGUGUUUUCAACCACAUAAUGUUUAUUUUAGGUUUCAGACAUUAAACUGUACUUUUAGAGUUUGUAAAGUACGCACUGAUGUCUGUAGAAGCGACAAUAACGAUCCUUUCCAUAAUAAUUAGACGACAUGUUUUAUUCAUAUCAGAUACACACUGUGUAAGUAACUUUAAAGUUUUCUCUAUUCUUCUCCCAGUUCACCGGCUCACUUACUUUCAUGUAUUUCAGGAGAAGUGGAUGAAUUCACGUGUUUUAAAUCCAACAGAUCCGAUUCUCUGAACAGCGGCACAAACUAACAUGGCGGUGCCUAACGCGAUCGUUAUAAAAGUGUUUAAACAGAAAAACACAUCCACUUGCACAUAUUUGACAAUCAGAAUAUCAGAUAUUUUAUGCUACAGUUAACAAAAACAUAUCAAGUCCUCAAAAGUAAAUGUAAAUGCUUAGUAUAAAAUAAUGUGCAAAAAACUAUAAUGAAUCAAAAUGUAGAAAACACAUUAAAUGUUUGUAUCAUGAAUUAAUCUCAGAAAAGUGAAGGUUAUAUAGACUUUAAAUGAAGAUAAUUUGACUCCAAACAGCUUGAUUGAAUCUUCAUGAACUGUUAUUGGUCACUCUCUCACUCACUUGAUGCAGAUGAAGUUGUUUGUGUCAGUUUCAGGAAGGCUGAUCCAGCGCUGGUCUCUGGUCUGAAUGGCUCCGGAUCUCACUGUCGUAGUGCAGUCCUCCUCACCGGUGCCGUUACCCGCAGCCCACUGCUCAUAGCACAGGGUCUGACCGUUCACCCAGAACCAGAGGCCGACCACGCAGGAGUGACGGAGACCCAGCCACACGUGAGGGGUGGAGGCGCUCGCGGUCACGUUCUCCACUCGACGCUGAACAUCCUCCGAGUCCACCGACACCAGUAUCUCUGAGCGUCAGUCCAGCUCAGGUCCUGAUUCACAAAGUGAUACCGAUGCAGAGCUCCUGCAGACAAACUGACCACAGCUGAGGAGAGACAAAUUCACACAGAUCAAGACUCACAUCAGCACUAUUUCAAGAGUUCAAACUGCAGACGUUUGAGGAGAUGAAAGAAGAGAUUGACUCUCAGAAGAAACAUCUAAGAUGAAGCUGUUUCUUCAAUGAGACCUGAAGGAGAAGUCUGCUGAGACAAUAGUCACGAGUGUCCCAGUGUCCCUCAGGGAUGAAUAAUCCAUUACAGACUGGAUCUUCAGGAAAGAAUUUUAAUGUGUGCCAUUGUUACUCAAGUAAUGAUGCUAAAAACCACAAUCUAACCAGGAAACCAGGAGCGGUUUUCAGUAACAUGCAAAAUCAUCAGAAUACUCAUAAUUAUCUAGAAUGAAGCUAAUUGUCUAAAACUUUUGGAAUCCUGUGGAAUUUGACCUCUGAAUACACGUCUUUGAUCAGAAUAUUUGAAGAAUCAUCCCUCUGGAACUCUAAACGUUCACUUUUAGAUGCAGUUGUAUCUCAGUUGUCUGAAGAUGAUGAGGGACAGAAGAUGAUAACGGAUGCUGCAGCCCCCUGCCACGACGGCUGCGGAUCCUCUUGAUUAUAAAUGAUCAUGAACGGUCAGGCAGUGCUGCUAUUGACCUGUUUAUGAGGGAAGAAGAGCGAGGACAGUACAUCGCAUACAGGCGCGCGCAGUCAGGGGCAUCGCUUCGCAGGGAGAGAACAUUUAAAGAUAACAGUGUUCUGCAGGAAAUCACGAGUCGUGAAAACACUCACACGUACAUGUAAACACAAUUAGCAUGAACGACAUUACAUACAUGCACAGAAAUAAAAACGGCCUCAUGUUCUGAAGAAGAUGUGAGUGGAGAUUCAUCUGCGAUACAUAUGUGAAAUGAUGCAUCCCAUUGCAGUUUUUCUACUUCAAAAUUUCAGGUUAAUUCACUCUUGAAAUAGUUAACCCAGAGUCAUUCUAAACCCCGGGUGAAUGGAAUUUUUUAUUAAGUUUUAUUAAGUGUUAACAAUGAGAUUAUGUGGUUUUUAUAAUCAAUUAACACUCUUUUUGUCAUUUUUUACAAGAUGGACAAAAUUUGUCACCAAAAAAGUCAUUCAUUUUAACCAAAAUUUCGGUUUUACCGAAUGACACUUUUGGUUAUACCGAAUGACGAUAUCUUCAAACAAUGCUAACAGGCUGAUAUCUAGCUAACUAGCAAAAGGACAAUCAAACAUUUUAUAUUUAGUACAAGUUUUUAAAAUAUUCCAACAUUUUCCAUGUUUUAUAGCGGUUGUACCGAAUGACCUGAUGUUUCGGGACAUGCGUAUGAUCAAGUGAAAACAUGAAUUAUUCAAAUAGUUCAGAGAGAGUUAGUUACUUUGCUUCAUGACCAUGUGGUCUGAAUGAUGUCACAUCCUGUCACAUGAUAUUGACCGCAUGACUUGAUCCAAAAUGGUCCCUUUAUAUUAGUUACUCCGAAUGACAUCAAUGAAAUUCAUUUUUCCGGACACUCUUUCUCAUAACAAAGCAACGACUUCUGCACAUAAUUUUAAUAUCAUUUUGCACUAUGUUGAUAUAUGAUGUUAUAAAAUCAUGCCAGAAUAAAAAAUAUAUACAUUUAAUACAUUUUAAUAUAUUUUAAUCACAAAUGAAAUGGCUGUAUUGGCCUUUGGACGGUUAAACCAAAUGACCUUUUGACACUUCAGAAUAUUCAAAAUACCUUUAUAUGUCGCAAAAUAUAAUUAAAACCUUUUGGAUUCAGUAAAAGAGAUCUAGUUGUACUACCUUACAUACUCUGGAUGUCAUAUCUGUGUUUUUUAUUAUUAUUAAGGCCUUUGGACAAAAAAAAUGACCCGUCACGUCAUUGACCCAAAUACAUUUCAAAACCCAGGGUUAAGUCGUUAUUUGCAUAUUAGCAGUGUCAGUGUCGCUAAUUGGACGAGCGCAGCGCACAAUCUAUAAAAAAGCUGUACUAGCAUCUUCAUAUAUUGCCAAGUUUAUACUGAUUUAAUAGUACAAGCUUUUUCGACUAUAAAGAUAAGAACAAAACGAUCUCUUCUUCACUUCAAUUGGCACGUUUUCUGUUUGAUAUUUUUCUCAUCAAAGGCUGUAUGAACAGGCCCCAGCAGUGUAAAAGAGCGCAGUGGAAUUGAAAAACGCAUUCGUCGUUGCAGUGUGGGGUUAACAGCGCAAAAGCGACUCUAAUCCCGCUUCGGACCAGGGUUUCAUUACCCAUACGAGGAGUUUGUUUUGGAAACAUCAUACUCAAAACGAAAUUGCAUUUGCAGACCAUUUUACUUCCAUAAUGUGAUAUUCCCAAGUGAAACUGAGUAUCUGAUGAUAAACAUGUAGUGCAGGACUGGAUUUCAUACAUCAGGAGUUGAUUAGGUGUUUUAUAUGUAGGUCGUUGGAGAAAAGAAUUACAUUAGCUGAAAAAAAGAAAUGGCAUUUAAUAAAUUUAUUCUUAAUUCUGAACGAUUACCAGGAAAAAAGUAAUUUUUCUAAAAUGUGCAGGUUGUAAAAUGUUAAAACAAACAUGUCAAGAAGUGUCAAAACAAGAUGGUGGAUGGAAGCUGAAACAUCUUACUUCUUUUCAUUUGUCCAGCGAUUUUUAUUUGUUUGAACAAAGCGAACCCGUUUUUUUUUCCUGUAGGCUAGAAUAAAGUGCCUGAUGAAUCGUUCACAAUAAGACCAGGAAGACACAAUAUACCACAUACAAUAUCUCACAGUGGAUCUGAAUCUUAUAGAAACACUUUUUAAACGUUUCCCAUAUUAGUUGAACUAACGGGCGGCGCGCCAUGUUUACAAACGAGUUUUACUGCACACAAACCACGAAAUCUGAUCGGACGAAUCCCAACAUAAGUCUGGUUUCCCCUGUAGACAGAGUUUGUGUUUGUUUUCAGUGAGUAAUUUUUUUAAAACUCAGUUUUUCCAUAUAUUCUCAACUGGAAGUCAUGAAUAAAUAAACGAUCUCCUGACAUUCUCCUCAUUUUUGUCCAUUGCUGCUUCUCCACUUUACGGGAACUAUUAUUGAUUAAUUUAUCCUGCAUCAAUCCGUCAUGAUCAAUACACCAGCACAGCAACCCUGCUGAUCCGCACACAUUUGACCGAAUGUUUUCCUGCAGGAUUCAUUAAAUUGGCUUUUUCUCCCUCCGAGUUUUUGUUUAUUUCUCUUUUCAUUUGUUUGGCUGUUUUUUAAACAUUUUAUAGGACACUGUUAGUUCACAUAAACUGUUCUUUAUCACUACAGUAGCUGAAAUAAAAUAAGUGUGCCUUUUAAUA
Molecule: long non-coding RNA, 5592 nt
Organism: Ctenopharyngodon idella (grass carp)
Lineage: Eukaryota; Metazoa; Chordata; Actinopteri; Cypriniformes; Xenocyprididae
Exons: 6
Source: RefSeq, a predicted model, not a curated record